Long non-coding RNA from Gasterosteus aculeatus aculeatus (three-spined stickleback), 1178 nucleotides. The record is from Ensembl. NCBI's taxonomy places the organism in Eukaryota, Metazoa, Chordata, Actinopteri, Perciformes, Gasterosteidae.
AUAACACAAUGGUGUCCCAUAAUACACAAUGGAAUAAAGGCUCAUUUUAAAUCAAAUAAUUGCAUUUACAGCCUGAGAGGUUUGAAUGGUCCUUGGCUGGACCUCUUGUUGCUGUGUGAGUCCUCGCUAAAUAUUCCCCUUUGUUUGUGGUUGUUAUGUUUGUAUAUAUUUACUUCAGCUAAAUUAAAAAAAAAGGUAAAUUGUGAGAAAAAAUAAAUUGAAUGUGUAUUUUAUAAAAUGAGUAACGGUAUGUUUAGAAAUAAAUAUAUAUUCAUGAUUUAACCUCAACAAAAGCGAGUUGCGUGUUAACACACACGCCUGGUGUGUGUGUUCACUGAUGCAUACUUCCGUGUGUGCGCCAGUGAGUGUGUUAUUGAUUUGCGCAGAUGUUUCACACGGCCUCCACGACACAGAUGGUCAGUCGAGUUGUCUUCUCUUGUUCUUGUGUCGUCUUGGCACGUCAUUAGACAUGCAGGGGCUCGUACAUGUUGCAUGUUUGCAUGUGUGUCCACGUGUGUGUGUGUGUGUGUGUGUGUGACUCCUAUGGCGACUACUGACCAGCUGCUUCCAGAAGCUAUUGUGUCACCAGAUGCCAUGACAUAAACGUGUGUGUGUGCGUGUGUGUGUGUGGGAGUGUGCAUGUGCAUGGAUAUAUGUGUGUAUGUGACCAUUGUGAUUGUAUGUUGAAAAAUUAGAAAUGCUUUUUGCUGUGUGUAUAAUUUGUGUUUUCUGUAGUGUAUCUAUAGAUAUCUAUAGAUAGUGUAUCUAUAGCUCUGGUGUGUAUUUUCUGUGUGCUUUUGUGAACAGUACACAUAUAUAUAUGUGUGUGUGUGUGUGUGUGUGUGUGUGUGUGUGUGUGUCUGAGAGGGGGGCGAAGUGGGCAAUGGAGGCUUAGAGGUCUAAAUGAGUGUAUGACCCGUGCCGCUGCUUGGCCCCCGUGGCCCCCGUGGCCCCGUGGCCCCGUGGCCCUGCUAACUCAUUAACUGUAGAAAACCGGCCACACCUCCUGUUGCACGAGACAAAGACAUGGGGGAUUGAAGUGUGCAUGGUGGUUAGGCAUCUUUCUUUCGGGGGGGGGUCAGUGUGUUGACAAUAGGCUCGGCGCGCGACCACCUUUAUUUGACUUGGCAAUCAGGGAAGAAGUGUUUGACCCCCCCGCGUCCCGCUGUCACUGCGUC